Molecule: long non-coding RNA, 1349 nt
Filed under: Brachypodium distachyon (stiff brome)
Lineage: Eukaryota; Viridiplantae; Streptophyta; Magnoliopsida; Poales; Poaceae
Description: long non-coding RNA (BDIS_LNC004032)
Source: RNAcentral
GGAGAGGGCGGCGAUGAUUGGGUCUUGGAGAGCCACUCUGUCGUCCUAGGAGCGACACGGGUGGGACGAGGGUUAAUUUUGGCCGAUGCCCACAGGCCACAACAAUGAGACACGGAUCACUGUAGUAAGAACAUGUGACACCGCUGCAAUGCGAGUGCAUGAGGAGACACCGUGGCAUGAAAGAAAAGAUGCUCCCUUAAAGAAAAAGAAAAAGAAAAAAGAUGUGAAACAUUGAGAGUCAUCUCCUGCCGCGCCGCCCGCUCGUCGUCCCGGUCGGAGAAGGUUGUGUCCAAGGAGGUGCUGCCAUUGGGUAGAAGGAGAAGAAGAGAGGACAAGGCAAAAAAAUAGAAAAAAAGGCAAAGGGUCCAAUGAAAAAAGCGUGGUGUCUGACAGUCAGGACCCACUUGUAAGGAAAAAUCACUUAAAAAUAGAUUAAGUCUCUAAUUUUGCCCCCCCUAAUCCUAACUCGGCCCCCUCAUGUCUAAUUCCUGGCUCCGUCACUGGCGAGAAAACUGCCUCAAAACCUGUGGUUCUGUAAAAUUUACUCUAACAUUAACUUGCAACCAGUACAAACAAGUUCGAUAACGAUCUUUCAGAUCACACACAUCAAAUGAGGGCCGUGGUUUUCACCUCUCAUUUUUAAAAAUGUUUACACAUUAAUAUUUUAUUUUGAAUGUUUACAAACUUAUUAAUGAGUUUACCUGAAAAUGAUUUGCUUUUGGUUGAACUGUUCUGUGUCGUCGUCAGGGAUAUCCUGCAGCAGAAUAUACACAAAGCUGUCAUCAAGCAACGUCAUCCGGCAUGGAAACAAAGUAUCCAUCGUGGAGAAGAACCUUCAUGGAGGAAAUAGUCCCAUUAAAAAGAUGAGGUUAAAAAUUAGCGGAUGAAAACUUCUACAGUGUGCCCGUCAAAAAAACUUCUAUAGUGAGGUCAGAAGAAAUCUCAUCACCAGUGCAUAAGCUGGAGCUGGCUGUCAUGAUGACUGACGAAGCACCUGUUAUUCCUAUAAGCAAUCACAUGUAGUGAUACAUUGAUCAUCUCAGAUUAAGAAAAGGACAUUUAUUGAUCGGCCCAGGACGAGAAUAGACAGGGCAAAAAGACCGAAGUAGCAUGAUUUUUUUUGGUAUGGACUAUGUAUAGAGUAGAUGCUAGAUUACCAGGUAACUGAACAGGCAGCGAUUCAAGCAGCUACAAGAUACUUCAAGGGUUUCGCCGAAAACUGGUGAAAUGAGUUCGUCCUGUUUUUCCCACACCUUAUAGAUUAAAAAUCAGAUCACCUACAAAUUUUAUUUGUUGGGUCACUUGAGUUAACUGCUUAUAUGAUCCCUGUACCUUUAAUUUGACAUCAG